Echinops telfairi (small Madagascar hedgehog) is the source of this 556-nucleotide long non-coding RNA. RefSeq lists it as uncharacterized. Lineage: Eukaryota; Metazoa; Chordata; Mammalia; Afrosoricida; Tenrecidae. The record is from RefSeq and is a predicted model, not a curated record. The transcript is spliced from 2 exons.
AAGCAGGGCACGUGGGUUUGGCAUUUCACCUCGAAGGGCGCUUGGCUGUUUCUGUUGUGAACAAAAGAGCUGUGUUUACGACCAGAUAAAACUCUUCGUCAUGCUGGCUUCUCAAGCUGAUAACCAGAGGGUCCUACUGCGGCAAAUAGUUCAGGAACCGUUUUCGUGUAAUAUCUGCAAAAACCUCAGCAUGUUAAGACUUGGAUCAAUGUUGCUGAUUUUUGGCAUCACGUUGGUGGUUUUGCAUUGGAACCAUGCCUCCCUCGGUAUUGGAGCGGUCAUGGUGGUUCUUGGGGUUCUUGUGUCCACCAUUAGUGGGGGGCUAAUCUUCUAUGACAUGUGCUGGAAGUCAGAGGGAUUCCCUACUCCCCACCGGAAGGCAAUUUCAAAGCACAAAGUUGGCUGGAAUCCAGUUCCCAAUGAAGCGCCAGAGGCACCAGAGGCCAAUGACUCACAGUAAACGUUAAGCCUGGGUAUCUUUGAGCCUUUGGAAUGGGCUUUUUAAAACUUCCCCGAGCAUUUUAAAAAUAGAAAUAAAAGUUGGCUUUUAAAAGGC